This 1925-nucleotide ribosomal RNA is filed under the name Exanthemachrysis gayraliae. RNAcentral's name for it is "partial Bacterial large subunit ribosomal RNA". It matches the Rfam family "Bacterial large subunit ribosomal RNA", at positions 3 to 1961 of the family's 2925-position model. Lineage: Eukaryota; Haptophyta; Pavlovophyceae; Pavlovales; Pavlovaceae. The record is from RNAcentral.
UCAAGUUAAUAAGAGCUUUGGGUGGAUACCUAGGCAUUCAGAAGCGAUGAAGGGCGUGGUUACCGACGAAACACUUCGGGGAGUUGGAAACAAACUUUGAUCCGGAGAUUCCCGAAUGAGGAAACUCUUUAUACUUCUUUUUUGAAUAUAUAGAUUAAGAAGGGCGAACCCGGUGAACUGAAACAUCUAAGUAACCGGAGGAAAAGAAAGCAAUAGCGAUUCUCUUAGUAGCGGCGAGCGAAACGGGAACAGUCUAAACUAAACAAAAUUGUUUAGGGUUGCGGGAGAGGCUUAUUUAAGAAUACUUUGAUUGUUAGAUGAAGCGUUUGGAAUAACGCGCCAUAGAAAGUGAUAGCCUUGUAAUUGAAAACAAAUAAAAGAUUCUGCCUUUAUCCCAAGUAGGAGGGGAUAAGUGAAAACCCCUUUGAAUCUACGAGGACCACCUCGUAAGACUAAAUAUUACUGAAUGACCGAUAGUGAACCAGUACCGUGAGGGAAAGGUGAAAAGAACCCCGGGAGGGGAGUGAAAAGAACAUGAAACCAAAAGCUUACAAGCAGUGGAAGGACGACUAUAACGUCUAACUUCGUUCCUGUUGAAGUAUGAGCCGGCGACUUGUAGGUAGUGGCAGGUUAAGGUUAUACCGGAGCCAUAGUGCAAGCGAGCCUUAAUAGGGCGUCGUCACUAUUUACAGACCCGAACCCGGAUGAUCUAACCAUGGCCAGUGUGAAGCUUGGGUAACACUAAGUGGAAGUACGAACCGACUGUUGUUGAAAAAACAGCGGAUGAGUUGUGGUUAGGGGUGAAAUGCCAAUCGAAUCCGGAGCUAGCUGGUUCUCCCCGAAAUGUGUUUUGGCACAGCGGUUAAUGUUUGAGUUCAGGGGUAAAGCACUGUUUCGGUGCGGGCUGCUAACGCGGUACCAAAUCGAUGCAAACUAAGAAUACUGAACAUUUAUAGUUAACCAGUCAGACUGUGGGGGAUAAGCUCCAUUGUCAAGAGGGAAACAGCCCAGACUACUAGCUAAGGCCCCUAAAUUAUGACUAAGUGAUAAAGGUGGUGGGGAUUCUAAAACAACCAGGAGGUUUGCUUAGAAGCAGCAAUCCUUUAAAGAGUGCGUAAUAGCUCACUGUUCGAGUGACCCUGCGCCGAAAAUGUACGGGGCUAAGUCAUAUGCCGAAGCUGUAGGAUAUAAACAUAAAAAAAUAUCGGUAGGGGAGCGUUCUAUACCGAUUUGAAGCAUUAACGUAAGUGGAUGUGGAUUGGAUAGAAGUGAGAAUGUUGGCUUGAGUAGCGAAAAUAUUGGUGAGAAUCCAAUAUCCCGAAAACCUAAGGGUUCCUCCGGAAGGCUCGUCCACGGGGGGUUAGUCAGGGCCUAAGCCGAGGCGGAAAAGCGUAGGUGAUGGACAACAGGUUAAUAUUCCUGUACUUUUUACUAGUGAUAUAGAGGGACGGAGAAGGCUAUAUCCGCCGAAUGUUGGUUAUCGGUCUAAGUGUUCGAGGUGUUGAGAAACGGUGAAAACGUUUUGAGCUGAGGCAUGAUGGGUAGGCAUAGUAAUUAUGCCGAAUGGAUUAAGGUCCAGCUUCCAAGAAAAGCUUUUAAUAUCAUAACUAGUAAAAACCUGUACCCGAAACCGACACAGGUAGGUAGGUAGAGUAUACCAAGGGACGCGAGAUAACUCUCUCUAAGGAACUCGGCAAAAUGACCUCGUAACUUCGGAAGAAGAGGUACCCUGAAAAGGGUUGCAAAAUCCAGGCUCAGGCGACUGUUUAUCAAAAACACAGGUCUCCGCUAAGUUGUAAAACGAUGUAUGGGGGCUGACGCCUGCCCAGUGCCGGAAGGUUUAAGAAGUUGGUUAUUCUUUGAAGAAGCUGAUAACUAAAGCCCCGGUGAACGGCGGCCGUAACAAUAACGGUCCUAAGGUAGCG